This 878-nucleotide long non-coding RNA is filed under the name Triticum aestivum (bread wheat). RNAcentral describes it as "long non-coding RNA (TAES_LNC016029)". Lineage: Eukaryota; Viridiplantae; Streptophyta; Magnoliopsida; Poales; Poaceae. The record is from RNAcentral.
UGGGAGUGUCCCUGUUGGCUGGUGCAGCGUCGAGGCGCGCAGCAUUUUGAGAGGCUUCUCGACGGGUGGCAGCCUCGUCGGCCGGCGGCCGUGCCUCGACUCGCCUCCACCCUCCGCUCCCUUCGCCGCGCUGGCGAUGGCCCGGCCUGCCUUGCUAUUCGCCGCCCUCGAGCCCUGCCAUAUCUUGUCGUCAUCCCAUCGGCGCCGGAAUCCAUCCCACUUCCUUUUUGUUGCGCAUAAUAACAGGGAGUCUCCGUAUGUAGCGACGGUCGCGGCCCCCUUCCUACGACCUUUGGAAGCAGAUCCCGCGUAAGAUGCCCCUACUUCUUCAACCAGCUAGAUGAGGAUCCAUGUCCUUCGUGUCCUAGCCGCUACCCUCUGGACAGGUUUCUCUCUUUUCCUCUUACCUUCUCUCCCUCUGUAUGUGUGUGCAUGAGUCUGUCUGUAUUCUUCUGAUUAGUCACUACUGAUGUUUACAUUAAUUGACAUGUUAUGCAGGACGAGUAUUGUGCAGGAAGCCCCCAUUAGUAGGUUUAUAUUAUGGUUUGGCUUUGGCGUCUGUAUAUGUUUAUUCCCAAUUAGGAAUCAGCUACUGUACCAUAGUAGCAUGUCUCUCAUUCUGAAUCUCAAACGUAUUUUAGAAAUCUCAUAUUAAUCAUUUAAUUUAUGACAUAAUUGGAGAAUCCUCAAACAAAAUUUGUUGAUUUGAUGGUUGCAAACCUUGAUGUUUCAAUUUUUCAAAUGCCAUGUAAUGUUUCUCAUAGGCUAGACAUAUAUAUGUUGGCUUAAAUUUACAUUUGUGCUUGGCUCUCUACCUAAAUUCAAUUUCUUCCUUUAUUUUUGUUGGUUUGAUGAUGCAUUUCUCUCAGAGCUUAGUU